This 495-nucleotide ribosomal RNA is filed under the name uncultured bacterium. RNAcentral describes it as "partial 16S ribosomal RNA". It matches the Rfam family "Bacterial small subunit ribosomal RNA", at positions 28 to 523 of the family's 1533-position model. The record is from RNAcentral.
GAUGAACGCUGGCGGCGUGCUUAACACAUGCAAGUCGAACGAAGCACCUUGAUCUGAUUCUUCGGAUGAAGAUCCUGGUGACUGAGUGGCGGACGGGUGAGUAACGCGUGGGUAACCUGCCUCAUACAGGGGGAUAACAGUUAGAAAUGACUGCUAAUACCGCAUAAGACCACAGUACCGCAUGGUACAGGGGUAAAAACUCCGGUGGUAUGAGAUGGACCCGCGUCUGAUUAGGUAGUUGGUGGGGUAACGGCCUACCAAGCCGACGAUCAGUAGCCGACCGGAGAGGGUGACCGGCCACAUUGGGACUGGGACACGGCCCAAACUCCUACGGGAGGCAGCAGUGGGGAAUAUUGCACAAUGGGGGAAACCCUUAUGCAGCGACGCCGCGUGAGCGAUGAAGUAUUUCGGUAUGUAAAGCUCUAUCAGCAGGGAAGAAAAUGACGGUACCUGACUAAGAAGCACCGGCUAAAUACGUGCCAGCCGCCGCAGUAA